This 526-nucleotide long non-coding RNA is filed under the name Homo sapiens (human). Its description in RNAcentral is "HSALNT0371249". Lineage: Eukaryota; Metazoa; Chordata; Mammalia; Primates; Hominidae. The record is from RNAcentral.
CCUGCGGCCAUGCUGGGCUAGGACAAGAGGCAGAGGCAGAGAGACAGAGAGGAGCCACCCUAAGAAGAGAGACCAGAUACCCUUUUCUCAUCCUUUGAGUUCAACAGAUGUCUCUUCUGGUUGCAAGUGACAGAAGCCCACACAGAAAAGGCUCAGACCAAAGAGAAAUUUAUGGGCUCCUGAAACCGUAUGUCAGAGAGAGAUUGGGCCAGGGCUGGGAUGUGACCCCGGCUCUUUCUUGGUUUCUCCUCGCCGCUUCUCUCUCUCCUGCAGCCUCACAGUCUCAGACAGGAUUCUUUCAAGAAUUGCAAACUUGGCUGAAGACCUUCCUGUCCCCUUUCUUACCUCCCAUGUACAGGAUGGGGGUGAUGAUCCCACUUCUCUGACUCUCACCCAGAAGUUAGGAACUCCUUAAGCAAUGCCAAGUCAAGUCCUUCUCACCCUCCAAAUUGCUCCUGCCUCCUCUGCUGCGUCUCUAGGACUCUCCUGAUUCACUCUCCUCUUCUGAUCUGCCUCUCCUGGAUCA